CCCGCGGUCAGCUCGUCGUCUACGGCCCAUCGUUGUGGAACACGCCGAAAGCAGGAGUCCUCGCCGCCGGCGUCGAGACGUGGGGCUCGGCUGGGAACACGACAAGCACCGCUCUGACAGACGAGUGAAGUCUCUCAUCCAUGUCGCUAUAAGAAAAAUGUAAAACACGUGUCAGUCUUAUCCUCUAGUGGUGACGGAAAUUUCAUUUCCUCAUAAUAAAUGCUUAUAGCGACGGAAGACCAGCAAUCUACCAAAUAAAAUACUAAUGAUGGGAUAAAAAUAGAACUUAUAUACAAAUAAAGACAAAUCAUAAUAAAAUAAAAUAUUAAAAUUUACGUAAAAAAAAUUCUUUUAAUAUGAAAAAUAAAAAUUACAGAAUAAAUCAGAAAAAAAUUACUAUAAAAAUAAUGAAUGUACAAAUCAUAAUCUUUUUAAAGAUAAAUGAAAGUUGUUUCUAUUUGAACAAUAUAGAAAACGGUAAUUUCUCGGAUCAAAUAUUUCUUGCUUAAUCGUAGACGAAUACUUGCAUGUAUCCAAUAAUUAGGAAAGAGCUAAAAGUAGGCUACAAGUUUUGCAACCAAGGGCAAAACAGGAGCCGGGUGUGACACUUCAAUGUGAAAUCACAAGAUAGAAAGAAAUGAUCAUCAAUGUUGUCACAGAGUCAAAACCCAAAGCACAGGAAUGUGUUAUCAAAAGGUCAGAAAAGCCGAAUUGUAAAGAAAAUAAACAAAUAGAAGAGAGAGAGACAGAGAGAGAAGAUGAGGAGCAAAAAGGGAAAAUGAAGAGCUAAUAGUUGCUGCAAGUUGAAGUUUCGUCGACCAACUUGGAAUUCAGUGAUAGUUUGAGAAUCAAAUAUAGAAUUAACCAUCACUCAUUAAAAACUGCAACUCAUGCCAAAACUAGAGAAUGCUACAUCACUUACAAUGGGUCCUAGAAGCAAAAUAAGAGAAACCAACUCUUUUUUUGUUUUUUGUUUUAAUGGAUGGGUAGAUGGAGCAACACCUGCAUCGGCAGAGGAAAAGUGAAAGAGAAAAUAAAAGAAAUCAAGUGAAAAUUAUGGGAAGUUGACACUAUAUAUUUUGGAUGAUGUAGGAAAGUGACUUCAUUCUCCUACUAUUCUGUCUUUGGCUGCCAAUAUAUUUCUUAUGCCUCCAGAGUUUUAUUGUGCUGUUGUUGACAUUUUUUGAUUGAUUGUAACAUCAUAUCUGAAAACCAUGAACUUUCAAGAGAUCCCACAAGAAUGUAUCCACCCAUUGCCCAAGUAAAGAAUAAGAUUAUCUGUUUGUCUGUCGCAUGCUCCUUUGGGCACACAAAAUCUCAGUAAAACAAACAUGUUUUGAAAUACCCACUUUCAAUUUUCUGAUUCUUAUCAAUCACCCACAAACCAAAACCAUUCCUACUUGUCUGCUUCUAGCAAGGUUGUGACUUGUUUACAUUUUCCUGAGCAAAUGUAAAUAAAUAUGCCACUAUUAGACAUGGAUGAAAUUCUAGAUCCUUCAUGCCACUCUCUUUUGACUUUGAAACCUAAAUGAUACAAGUACUUGUUCAUCUGACCCACCUAUCGAACAUAGCUCAAAAUUCACCCAAACACUCUAGUACUGUAUUUCACACUGCAUUGCAUUUAUAUCCUGAGCUUCAGACUACCAAUAUCUUUAGACCCUUCAUGAUUGAUAAUAGAAACAUCUUGCACAAAUUACACCAAAAUCUACAAAAUUUCUGUAUUUUUCAUAUCAUGAAUUUUGAAGUAAAAGAUAUGACAUACUAUUGUCUUACCCUUUGAACAUGCUGUAGAAAUUGUGUGGAUUGACAUAGAUUUUUGUGAUGUCAAUGGUCAUACUUUGUUGUUCACAAAGCACCUACAAUGUUUCUGAAUAAAAUAGGAAGAAAGAUCUCAAUGUUAUGAAUGCAAUACAGUGGCUAAAGCCUAAAGGCAUCUCAUUUUUCAUUCUUAGGAGACCAGAAACAUAUUUUCACAACAAGUCGAGCAAUACAUGAAAGCAUUGAGUUUGUGUCUGUGUUUGCUUAGGACAACCUCAGAGGCAAGAGUGCUAUUCUUAGGGGACCAGAAACAUUUUUAACAACAAGUUGAGCAAUACAUGAAAGCAUUGAGUUUGUGUUCGUGUUUGCUUAGAGGACAACCUCUGAGGCAAGAGUGCCUCUCUUUGCACUUGCCAACAAUUAAAGGGGCUGUGACUUCACUUUGGUUGGCUAAUGGUCAAUUCUUUUUUUCUAUUAAAGUUCCAUAAGCAUUAGAACAGGGAAAGGAAUAAGCAUCAACAUUACUUUCUUUUUUGAGAAUUCAAUUCGGUCCAUCAAAUUCAAAGGUAAGAUUAUAUCCUAGGAUGUUACCUUUGGUUGUCUUUUGUUGUUUAUAUAUUGUCCUAAUGUUCUGGCAAUAACACCAGAUAUUAGGCAGGAAAAGGGAAAGGUUCAAGAUUCAGAGGUUUGACCAAAAGAGUGAAAUUGAGGUUAAACCAUGAAAAUCACAUAUAAAACAGAUACAAUUAAGAAAUUUAAGACUAGGCAUGAUAAAUUUAAAUUGUCAGAAUUAUUAGAAACUCCAAAUAGUUAAUGCAGUGUCAUAUCACCAGCAACCAAAAUGCACCAGGUACAUAAUGCAGCAAGAUAAACAUUAUGCAAUGUUGCUUCCUGCAUCAAAAUGCAACCUAACCAACUACUCUCCAUUCGACCCCAUAAAUGGAAUGAGAAAAAUGAAUACAUAUGCAAAAGAAUAAUUAAGUUGCGACUUAUAAACAAGCAAUGAGCUAUAGCUAAAUUCAGGCAUCGAUAGCAGGUUACCAACAAUCACAUUGCAAAUAUGUUCACCAAUAUACUACAUCAUCAUCAUCAUCAUCCAAUACAAUCAACUGCAACGGAACCAAAAAUUAAUAGCUAGAGGGAAAAAUAAAGAGAGACAAAAUUGGGAAGAUAUACUACCAGCUAGAAACGGCCCCGCCAGAGAGCAAUUGCCGCAUGUAAUCUUGCAGGAAGAGCAUCGGGCUGAAGGGAACAGGCGGUGGAGGAGCGGUGACGAAGAGAUCGGGGCCAAGGAUACCGGAGAUAGCUUGGGUUAUGGAGGUCGAAGAUGGCGAUGGCGAUGGCGUAGGCGUAGGAAGAAAAUAGGAAGCAGCGAGGAGAAG
Molecule: long non-coding RNA, 3140 nt
Filed under: Musa acuminata (dwarf banana)
Lineage: Eukaryota; Viridiplantae; Streptophyta; Magnoliopsida; Zingiberales; Musaceae
Description: long non-coding RNA (MACU_LNC003746)
Source: RNAcentral